This 415-nucleotide long non-coding RNA is filed under the name Astyanax mexicanus (Mexican tetra). RNAcentral's name for it is "lncRNA (ENSAMXG00005018324.1)". Lineage: Eukaryota; Metazoa; Chordata; Actinopteri; Characiformes; Acestrorhamphidae. The record is from RNAcentral.
GAAGAACUCAUGAAAACACAGAACUACUAGAUGAUGCUUCUCAGAUCAGAUGAAGGCCGUCAGGUGUCUCCUGUCUCUCCACAAACACGCACUGCAGCUGUCGUUCCUGAGGGGAUCUUCAUCACUGGAAUAGGAUGGACUUCCGUAACACGUCUUGUCAGAAAUAAGGAUGAGGAAAAAGAAAGGAAGAAGGAAAGGAAGGAAAUUAAAGGAAGCCAAAGAGGUAAGCGAUUAAGAUCGACGGAUGUUGAAUUGUUUAGAAUAGAAACCCCAUAAAUUAGACACCCCGUUUGCAUAUUCAUGGCAUUAGAUGAUAUGCUAAUACAGUUAAUUUCCAUUGUGGCUACCUCCUGUUGCGAGGCGCUUCACGCUCAGUUUGUUUGAAUGAAGUGGGAAGAGAAAAGGGAAAAGGAGG